UACAGAGGUCUCAAGCGUUGUUCGGAUUUACUGGGCGUAAAGGGCGCGUAGGCGGCGUGACUAGUCACUUGUGAAAUCUCCGGGCUUAACUCGGAACGGUCAAGUGAUACUGUCGUGCUAGAGUACAGAAGGGGCAACUGGAAUUCUCGGUGUAGCGGUGAAAUGCGUAGAUAUCGAGAGGAACACCUGCGGCGAAGGCGGGUUGCUGGGCUGAUACUGACGCUGAUGCGCGAAAGCCAGGGGAGCGAACGGG
RNAcentral lists this ribosomal RNA (253 nucleotides) under uncultured bacterium. RNAcentral's name for it is "partial 16S ribosomal RNA". It matches the Rfam family "Bacterial small subunit ribosomal RNA", at positions 524 to 776 of the family's 1533-position model. The record is from RNAcentral.